AUACAUGGCGUACUGCUCAGUAACACGUGGACAACCUACCCUCCAGACGGGUAUAAACCCGGGAAACUGGGUAUAAUCCCCGAUAGAUCUCGGUCGCUGGAAUGCUCCGAGAUCGAAAGCUCCGGCGCCGGAGGAUGGGUCUGCGGCCUAUCAGGUAGUAGUGGGUGUAGCGUACCUACUAGCCUACGACGGGUACGGGUUGUGAGAGCAAGAGCCCGGAGAUGGAUUCUGAGACACGAAUCCAGGCCCUACGGGGUGCAGCAGGCGCGAAAACUUUACAAUGCCGGCAACGGCGAUAAGGGGACCUCGAGUGCCAGGUUUCAAAUCUGGCUGUCGUGAUGCCUAAAAAGCAUUGCAUAGCAAGGGCCGGGCAAGACCGGUGCCAGCCGCCGCGGUAACACCGGCGGCUCGAGUGGUAACCGUUAUUAUUGGGUCUAAAGGGUCUGUAGCCGGCCGGAUAAGUCUCUUGAGAAAUCCAGCAGCUCAACUGUUGGGCUUUCAGGAGAUACUGUUCGGCUCGAGGCCGGGAGAGGUGAGAGGUACUUCAGGGGUAGGGGUGAAAUCUUGUAAUCCUUGAAGGACCACCAGUGGCGAAGGCGUCUCACCAGAACGGACCUGACGGCAAGGGACGAAAGCUAGGGGCACGAACCGGAUUAGAUACCCGGGUAGUCCUAGCCGUAAACGAUACUCGCUAGGUGUCGGCCACGGUGCGACCGUUGUCGGUGCCGUAGGGAAGCCGUGAAGCGAGCCACCUGGGAAGUACGGCCGCAAGGCUGAAACUUAAAGGAAUUGGCGGGGGAGCACCACAACGGGUGGAGCUUGCGGUUUAAUUGGAUUCAACGCCGGAAAUCUUACCGGGACCGACAGCAAUAUGAAGGCCAGGCUGAAGACUUUGCCGGAUUAGCUGAGAGGUGGUGCAUGGCCGUCGUCAGUUCGUACUGUGAAGCAUCCUGUUAAGUCAGGCAACGAGCGAGACCCA
RNAcentral lists this ribosomal RNA (979 nucleotides) under uncultured archaeon. Its description in RNAcentral is "bacterial SSU rRNA". It matches the Rfam family "Archaeal small subunit ribosomal RNA", at positions 74 to 1054 of the family's 1478-position model. The record is from RNAcentral.